Copidosoma floridanum is the source of this 296-nucleotide long non-coding RNA. Lineage: Eukaryota; Metazoa; Arthropoda; Insecta; Hymenoptera; Encyrtidae. The record is from RefSeq and is a predicted model, not a curated record.
UAUAGUUAACAGCCAAUGGUGAUGUAUAUUCAACGCAUUCAUAUCGAGUAAAUUGAAUAGUAUUGACAUCAUCGUGCGUGCCCCGUGCUCUUGAAGUGAGAAAGUCGCAGACACACGUGCGUCAGUGCGUGAGGCACUAAGCCAGUAUACCGCCAGCACCGGUCGACAAGUCCACACGUGUCGAGACUUCCAAAGGUCGAAAGCUUUCUUUUUCAGGAAAAAACAAAAACGAGCUGGUUCCAAGAACUCCUGUGUUCAGAGUCGAGUGAAAUAGCGCGACGAAAAUUAAAGUGCAA